Molecule: ribosomal RNA, 683 nt
Filed under: Plectonema sp. HPC-4
Lineage: Bacteria; Bacillati; Cyanobacteriota; Cyanophyceae; Oscillatoriales; Microcoleaceae
Description: partial 16S ribosomal RNA
Source: RNAcentral
GUAUCUAAUCCCUUUCGCUCCCCUAGCUUUCGUCCCUCAGUGUCAGUUGCGGCCUAGCAGAGCGCUUUCGCCACCGGUGUUCUUCCCAAUAUCUACGCAUUUCACCGCUACACUGGGAAUUCCCUCUGCCCCUACCGCACUCAAGCUCUAUAGUUUCCACUGCCGAUCCACAGUUAAGCUGUGGGCUUUGACAGCAGACUUAUAAAGCCACCUACGGACGCUUUACGCCCAAUAAAUCCGGAUAACGCUUGCAUCCUCCGUAUUACCGCGGCUGCUGGCACGGAGUUAGCCGAUGCUGAUUCCUCAGGUACCGUCAGAUCUUCUUCCCUGAGAAAAGAGGUUUACAACCCACAGGCAUUCCUCCCUCACGCGGGCGUUGCUCCGUCAGGCUUUCGCCCAUUGCGGAAAAUUCCCCACUGCUGCCUCCCGUAGGAGUCUGGGCCGUGUCUCAGUCCCAGUGGUGGCUGAUCAUCCUCUCAGACCAGCUACUGAUCACCGCCUUGGUAGGCUCUUACCCCACCAACUAGCUAAUCAGACGCGAGCUCAUCNUCAGGCACUAAAGCUUUUACCUCUCGGCUCAUCCGGUAUUAGCAACCGUUUCCAGCUGUUAUCCCAGACCUGAAGGCAGAUUCUCACGCGUUACUCACCCGUCCGCCACUAGAAUCCGAAGAUCCUCGUUCGAC